CAGCGCCGCGGUAAUACAGAGGGUGCGAGCGUUAAUCGGAUUUACUGGGCGUAAAGCGUGCGUAGGCGGCUUCUUAAGUCGGAUGUGAAAUCCCUGAGCUUAACUUAGGAAUUGCAUUCGAUACUGGGAAGCUAGAGUAUGGGAGAGGAUGGUAGAAUUCCAGGUGUAGCGGUGAAAUGCGUAGAGAUCUGGAGGAAUACCGAUGGCGAAGGCAGCCAUCUGGCCUAAUACUGACGCUGAGGUACGAAAGCAUGGGGAGCAAACAGGAUUAGAUACCCCUGUAGUCCCUGUCUCUUAUACA
This 301-nucleotide ribosomal RNA is filed under the name uncultured bacterium. RNAcentral's name for it is "partial 16S ribosomal RNA". It matches the Rfam family "Bacterial small subunit ribosomal RNA", at positions 509 to 808 of the family's 1533-position model. The record is from RNAcentral.